GACGAACGCUGGCGGCGUGCUUAACACAUGCAAGUCGAGCGAUGAAGUUCCUUCGGGAAUGGAUUAGCGGCGGACGGGUGAGUAACACGUGGGUAACCUGCCUCAUAGAGGGGAAUAGCCUUCCGAAAGGAAGAUUAAUACCGCAUAAGAUUGUAGUACCGCAUGGUAUAGCAAUUAAAGGAGCAAUCCGCUAUGAGAUGGACCCGCGUCGCAUUAGCUAGUUGGUGAGGUACCGGCUCACCAAGGCGACGAUGCGUAGCCGACCUGAGAGGGGGCUCGGCCACAUUGGGACUGAGACACGGCCCAGACUCCUACGGGAGGCAGCAGUGGGGAAUAUUGCACAAUGGGUGAAACCCUGAUGCAGCAACGCCGCGUGAGUGAUGACGGUCUUCGGAUUGUAAAACUCUGUCUUCAGGGACGAUAAUGACGGUACCUGAGGAGGAAGCCACGGCUAACUACGUGCCAGCCGCCGCAGUAA
This 478-nucleotide ribosomal RNA is filed under the name uncultured bacterium. RNAcentral describes it as "partial 16S ribosomal RNA". It matches the Rfam family "Bacterial small subunit ribosomal RNA", at positions 28 to 523 of the family's 1533-position model. The record is from RNAcentral.